AUUGAACGCUGGCGGCAGGCCUAACACAUGCAAGUCGAACGAGUGGCGGACGGGUGAGUAAUGUCUGGGAAACUGCCUGAUGGAGGGGGAUGACUACUGGAAACGGUAGCUAAUACCGCAUACCAUCGGAUGUGCCCAGAUGGGAUUAGCUAGUAGGUGGGGUAAAGGCUCACCUAGGCGACGAUCCCUAGCUGGUCUGAGAGGAUGACCAGCCAAACUGGAACUGAGACACGGUCCAGACUCCGACGGGAGGCAGCAGUGGGUAAUAUUGCACAAUGGGCGCAAGCCUGAUGCAGCCAGGCCGCGUGUAGGAAUAAGGCCUGCGGGUUGUAAAGUACUUUCAGUGGGGAUACGUUACCCGCAGAAGAAGCACCGGCUCACUCCGUGCCAGCCGCCGCGGUAAUUC
Molecule: ribosomal RNA, 406 nt
Filed under: uncultured bacterium
Lineage: Bacteria
Description: partial 16S ribosomal RNA
Rfam family: Bacterial small subunit ribosomal RNA
Source: RNAcentral